GAUGAACGCUGACAGAAUGCUUAACACAUGCAAGUCUUUGGCGAAUCUGUGCUUGCACAGGCUAGCCAAGGCGGACGGGUGAGUAACGCGUAAAGAACUUGCCCUGCAGACAGGGAUAACAGACGGAAACGACUGAUAACACCUGAUACAGUUGCCGGCACGCAUGUGCCUGGCAAUGAAAAGAGAUGCUGCAGGAGAGCUUCGCGUCCUAUUAGCUUGUUGGUGAGGUGACGGCUCACCAAGGCGAUGAUAGGUAGCCGGCCUGAGAGGGUGAACGGCCACAAGGGGACUGAGAUACGGCCCUUACUCCUACGGGAGGCAGCAGUGGGGAAUAUUGGACAAUGGGGGCAACCCUGAUCCAGCAAUUCUGUGUGCACGAAGAAGGUUUUCGGAUUGUAAAGUGCUUUCAGCAGGGAAGAAGAAAGUGACGGUACCUGCAGAAGAAGCGACGGCUAAAUACGUG
RNAcentral lists this ribosomal RNA (463 nucleotides) under uncultured bacterium. RNAcentral's name for it is "partial 16S ribosomal RNA". It matches the Rfam family "Bacterial small subunit ribosomal RNA", at positions 28 to 507 of the family's 1533-position model. The record is from RNAcentral.